UACAGAGGUCUCAAGCGUUGUUCGGAUUCAUUGGGCGUAAAGGGUGCGUAGGUGGCGCCGUAAGUCAGGUGUGAAAUUUCGGAGCUUAACUCCGAAACUGCAUUUGAUACUGCGGUGCUUGAGGACUGGAGAGGAGACUGGAAUUCACGGUGUAGCAGUGAAAUGCGUAGAUAUCUGGAGGAACACCGGUGGCGAAGGCGGCAUCCUGGACCGGUAUUGACGCUGAGGCGCGAAAGCUAGGGGAGCAAACGGG
This 253-nucleotide ribosomal RNA is filed under the name uncultured bacterium. Its description in RNAcentral is "partial 16S ribosomal RNA". It matches the Rfam family "Bacterial small subunit ribosomal RNA", at positions 524 to 776 of the family's 1533-position model. The record is from RNAcentral.